This is a long non-coding RNA of Anopheles coluzzii, 5067 nucleotides long. RefSeq lists it as uncharacterized. The record is from RefSeq and is a predicted model, not a curated record. Lineage: Eukaryota; Metazoa; Arthropoda; Insecta; Diptera; Culicidae. The transcript is spliced from 4 exons.
CCCACGUUCCUUUAUCAUCAACGUAUUGUUAUCAAAAAUGUUGGUCCGCUGCAAAAGUGUUGCGAAUUACGGUCAAGGUCGUGUAUUAUCGUUAUCUAAUCGGUUGUUCAGCUCUGUUUCGUUGCAUUAGAUAGCGGUUAGCAGCUUCUGUCUGCAGCAGUUACAGCUCGUUUUUUUUUGCGGUACACAGCUGUCAGAUGAUUGUGUAAUCUGUCUACCAGUGCUCGAGUGAAGAAUUGCUGUAUUGUAUAACAUUGUCUCCAUGGUACGGGGUUUAUGGUUUUGCGUUUGAAACGUGCAAUAGAUUUAUUCGUUGAAUGAAUCUUUACAUCCAAUUGCAAUUGUGUUGAUUCAAAAUAAGGAACAUAAUUACACCAACAGGGAUGUUAAGUGAUCAUAGCAUGUUUAGAAUUCAUUUACCGUAUUCUUACACGUAUCCUUUUCGAUCUACCCAUAACUAAGGGGAAUCGGUCUCGCUCGGUUUAUACUUUCCCCAGGUAUAACGAAUUUCCCCUGCCAGCCCCGAGAAAAAGAAACCUUCUCUCUAAUAAAGGAUUUGCUCCUCUCCCAUGAAAGGAUCGUUCGGCAACCGGUCGUAUUCUCAACCGUAGGGCAGGAAAACUUUGUCUCACGGGGGUUUGCUCCUUUUGCUUCCAGCCGCGAACGGUUCUCUCCGCGUGUCCUCGGACCCGUGUCUGUACAUAAUGCACGUUUUUGAAAUGCUUGAACCGUCGUCCUAGCCAGCCCGCCAGCCAGCGCGCGGACCUCUUACGCAAAAAAAAAGAAGCCGCACCGAAUGGAAAGGAGUACGGGGAGAGAGAGAGACUUAUUUAUCGGCUUGAUUUAUGGCUUUCCGGUAGCGCGUUUCUCGCCUGGCCAUUUUUUGGAUUCGGUCGCUCGCUUUCUCGCUCCUCUUCACAUCCAUUCUCGCUCAUAGCUCGGCUACCACGGUUGCUCCUUUUUGCGUGCAGUUUUCGGGCGGUUUUCGCGUGUGUUUCGUUCGUGCGCCCAAACUGUCGGCGCACGCAGUCGCGCCACGUGUUGGCCAGAGCGCACACAGGCGACUGGAGCCCAUGGGCCCAACUGCUACCUCACGGCCAAACGGACGAACCGAUUCGCAAUCGCAUUCCAUCGGUGAAACGGUACAGUCGCACGCUCUCUCGCACGGGGAUUCGGCUAGCGCAGUGUGGCGCGACACUUCACUGCACUUUGGUAGGCUCUGGUCUGGCCUGUUGUGGGCUGUUGUGGUGUGUGUCUGCAGUGUAGUGAAGAAUACAUUGGAACAUUCCUUGAUUCUUGUGCGGUGUGACAUGCCUUUUGCGAUGUUUCAGUGAUGUCUUCUAGACAGUUGAGUCCUGUUACCUGAUGUUAGGAUACUUGAAAGGAUCUUGUAUGUGUUUAGUAUUAGGAGUAUCACCGUGAAUACAUCUCAUAGAAUUCGCCAGAAUCUAACCAUUUCCAGUUAAUCCAACAAGAAGGUUAGUAUUUAACUGUGCCCGUGUGUGCUCUCGCUCGCCACAUUACCAUUCCCUCGGUGCCGGUUUGUUGCCAUGUGUCUGGUGCGCGUGUCUCGCAUUAGGAACACGUUUAGUCCUGUCCGCACGAAUGCGUGUGCCCUUCGCCCGCUUUCGAGCGUUACGUGUCGCAUAGCUUUGCGGCGGUAUUCGGUUGCAUGAAAUUUGAAAAUUAAAUUUACUUGAUCUCCCGGCUUUCGGCGACAGAGCGUGGGUUACGCGGGACGGUAAACACAGCGACACAUUCCGGCAUGCACGAGAGCUGUCCAAACACGGUCGUGCCAGCUCUUCCAGACUUGCACCGGGCUUAAAGUUACUACAUACAGACGCAAACAGACACAGCGAGCGAAACUCGGGGACGGGUUUUGUCUGUUUCAUUUCCGCGCGCGAUCUAACGAUCUUUUUGUCUUGGAAUUCAUGCCUUUUUUUCUGCUUUUGCUGUACGCUUUCUUUCUGCAGACUAUCAUCGGGAGCCGCCUGAAUCGUCAGAUGAACCGCUACGUCGUCGUUGCCCUUUUUUUUUUGAAUGUUAGAAGAUUACGAAACCGGAGGCAAGAUCUAACAAAAACGAAGAAAUUUGCACGAGAACGUCGCGAACACUGCAGCACGCAAAAUGAACCACCACGAGAGAGGAAGAAGGGGUAUAGAGCGCCUGUGUGUGUGUGCGUGUUUCAUUACUCUCCCAUAAUAAGCUGUGCUGCUCCCCUACGCAAAUUUUCGUCGGAGCGUCGUCAUUGCGUGUGUUUGAAGCUGCCAAACCCUGCCCCGAAACGAAAAACGCACCCCAAAAAUUGUUCGAAUAGGGGAGAAUUAGUGAGAAUUCACCAGUGCGUGUGCGUGUGUGUCCAUUUUGAGAUGGAGAGAGAGGGAGAGAGAGCAGAAAUUCGUGAGUGCGCUAUACUUCGCGAACGAAACCGAGAGAAGGAGAGAGCUCACACAAGAGGGGUUAAAAAGAAGGAUGAAGAGAGCGCGUACGUACCGCGGAAUGUAUUCUUGAGCGAAAGCGAGAGGCAUCGGAGCAACCUGAAGCGAGAGAUACAACAGCAAACAAAAAAAAAACAGAAAAAAAACCCGGAAGUACCGCAACCCCCGUUUAUGUCAAAAACGCAACCCCCAUCGUGGUAGGGGUGAGAUCGAGCGCGAGCGUUUCGUGAGAGAAAACUACCGAAAAACCCUCUCCUUCGGCGCGAGAGCGAAACGCGCCUUGGCUCGUGGGGGGAUGUUCAGCGUUCAGGGCAACCGAUCGGAUGCCUCCGGUUUUAUUGAAGUUUGAAUUUGGGCAGCGUUCGGAUCGGGGUAGUACAGCCUCUCGUGCACUGGCUGGCAGCUCGGUCGUGCCUCCGCUGCCUCCCCAGUGUGUAUGUGUGUCCGUGUGUGUUCCUGUAUGUGUGUAUACGUGUGUGCGUGUGUGCACAUACACACGGGGUGAUGGCGCUUUUGCGUUCGCGGCUGGCCGUCACUUUUCCUUGUGAAGGGAUCCUGGACAGUGGUUAGUGCCGCUAGUAGUAGUGCCCGUUUACCGUCGUACAGUGCGCUUUCUCCACCCGGGUCGUGUGGUGGUCCUUUCGCCGUCCGGUUUGGGGUGCAAUGUCCUUUCGAAUGCUGAACCAACAACAUCAUCAGCAGCAGCAGCAGUAGCCGUAUCCUUAGCAACUAUCAUAGUUUGCAGUGUUAUAAGUGUGAGCUACAUGCAUCGAAGUUUUGUGGAAUCGGAUCGAGAACUAGUAUUUUAGAAGUAGUUUAGAAGUUUGUGUUUCGAGUGAUUUUUUUUAUAAUGAAACCGGUCGCUAAACUUUCCAGUGUCUGCGGUAAUGGAUGUGCGUGCUUUUCUUAGUUUGCCAUCGUUGAGUGCAGUUUUGAGUUGCAAUUUUUCGGCCAGCUGAGUGCAUUCGUUUGAGUCGCUUUGUGUUUCAUCGGUGUUUGCUUGGUUGGUUUCUGUUUUGCAAGUGUAUUGUGGAAUUGAAACGAUUGACACUUUCUUCAAAUCAACACUGCCGAUGUUUAGUUGCCGCCGUGUACGCACAAGAGUGCUGCUUGCAGUGCAUUUUUUGUUAAUUUUCUGUUUGAAUACAACGCUGAGUGUUUGCAAGAAAGCUGCUGCUGUUGCUGUUAUAAAAGAGAUGCUAGUAAUUCGCUUUCCCCAUCGGCCAACCCAACCGCACCAGGCUCCCGAUUAGAAACGUCCUCUAGGUACGGGCUGUGGUGGUGACCAAAAGUCAGCUGUAAUUUCGGAGAAUCAACAUCGCCACUGCGCCAUGUACACAGUGCACUCUCACCACCAGUUUACGUGCGUGGCUGUGGGCAAUCACAUCACUUGCUUUUCUAAAUUCAUCAACCGAGCAGCGCGCGUCCUGGACUGCAGUUUGGGGCUGCAAUUUUGCGGACCAUGUCACAGGUGCUACAAACUGAAUGUCGGAAGCGUCGGAUUCUUUAAGCAGAGACUCAAGGCUCAAGGGAUAAACCGAAACGCCGAUUAUUUCACCACGGUAAGUACAUGCCAAAGUCGUCUCCAAUUGCUUUUCCUUCGCCUCUGUACCUGUCCUAGUUUGUAGCUUGUAAAACGUAACAAAGAUUGGUAAAAUAUAAAUAUACGUCCCACGUGGGGUUUUGGUCCUUCGAACCGGAUUUCUUGAAAGUCGCAAAAUGUCGUCCUAAAGACAGCAGACGCGUACCACGCGUUACCAAUCCAAUCAAAAGUCGGUUGCUCGGCUGCAGCGCCGACCCACAAAUUUGUUCUACAACUGCAGCCAAUGGAAGCGAACGCUAAACUUUAUCCAUUUGUUAGCGUACCUACCACCGGAGCCUUACAACAACAAUCACACACAAAAAACUUUGAAGUGAUGGUCGCCGCAUUCUUUUCUUUUUUCCUGUACUGGUGGCACUUUACCAAACCGUUUAUGGAUUCUCUCGUUUAGCUAACAAGUUGGGGCUGCGUUUUCUUUUCAUUCUGAUUCCGAGCGCCUUGCUGAACGCUUGUUUACAUACCUUGACGCGUCGGUGGCUGGCGUGGUCUUUUUUUUUUCGGCUGGCAGAUUUAUCGCCUCUCUCCCGCUUGCGUACGAAACGAAAACGUACAAGAAAACGCUUUCCUCCUCCACAGCUGUACAGUGUAAACAGUGGGGGCGAAAAGUUGCUGUGUAGGCACCGAACCAUCACCAAAACCCAGCAGCAGCAGCAGCAGCAGCCCGUGCCAAUGUCGUCGGGCUUUCUUCGUCGGGCCCCGUUUCCCGUGGCAACGCGUCACUCAAACUUGUCGUGAGGACGCGGGCAGCAGCGUGGCAGUAGCAAGCAAGGACGCUUUUCAACAUCAUUAUUUAUAUUACCGCCCCAUGACAGUUGCAUCAUUUUUCACGUUUCCAUUGCUUUGCUACCGAACCGGGCGCCGAACCGUUGUUGACUUGAUUUGCUUUUGUGUUUCCGUCACAAGCUCGAGAAGCUGAGCCGCUGCCGGUGUAGGUUUGUUUCUUUACUGCUUCGUUCCUUCAUGUCUGAUCGCAGCAUAGCAAAUUACCUCUUGAAAACCCGUCUUGCUUGGAGCUGCCGAGUCGGCGUG